CCUACGGGAGGCAGCAGUAGGGAAUCUCGCACAAUGGGGGAAACCCUGAUGCAGCGAUGCCGCGUGAGUGAAGAAGGCCUUUGGGUUGUAAAGCUCUUUCGUCGGGGAAGAAAAUGACUGUACCCGAAUAAGAAGGUCCGGCUAACUUCGUGCCAGCAGCCGCGGUAAUACGAAGGGACCUAGCGUAGUUCGGAAUUACUGGGCUUAAAGAGUUCGUAGGUGGUUAAAAAAGUUGGUGGUGAAAUCCCAGAGCUUAACUCUGGAACUGCCAUCAAAACUUUUUAGCUAGAGUAUGAUAGAGGAAAGCAGAAUUUCUAGUGUAGAGGUGAAAUUCGUAGAUAUUAGAAAGAAUACCAAUUGCGAAGGCAGCUUUCUGGAUCAUUACUGACACUGAGGAACGAAAGCAUGGGUAGCGAAGAGGAUUAGAUACCCUCGUAGUCCAUGCCGUAAACGAUGUGUGUUAGACGUUGGAAAUUUAUUUUCUGUGUCGCAGCGAAAGCAAUAAACACACCGCCUGGGGAGUACGACCGCAAGGUUAAAACUCAAAUGAAUUGACGG
RNAcentral lists this ribosomal RNA (558 nucleotides) under uncultured bacterium. RNAcentral's name for it is "bacterial SSU rRNA". It matches the Rfam family "Bacterial small subunit ribosomal RNA", at positions 338 to 916 of the family's 1533-position model. The record is from RNAcentral.